RNAcentral lists this long non-coding RNA (41739 nucleotides) under Prunus persica (peach). Its description in RNAcentral is "long non-coding RNA (PPER_LNC006318)". The stretch from base 1 to 305 matches the Rfam family "Plant signal recognition particle RNA". The record is from RNAcentral. Lineage: Eukaryota; Viridiplantae; Streptophyta; Magnoliopsida; Rosales; Rosaceae.
CCGAGCUAAGUAACGAGAGCUUGUAACUCAAGUGGGGGCAUUAAGGUGAUGGAACUUUGGCCCAGAAUUAACGGGUUGGGUCUGGUAUGGCUCUUUACUAGCCUGCCCAUUCCAAGCAAAGAGUUGUUCCAUGUGAUCUGAGCGAAAGCUCUGGGCCACAUGGCUCCUAAAGAGGAGGGCACCGCGUGAGGCUGGGUUCACAGAGCAGCGCCUACCUCCCGCUCUUUGCAGUGGAAGGAUAACGGGCUGGUGCCACCUUGAUCCAUCGUGGCCCGGUAGACUGGUCCACAUGAACCUAAUCCUUCGUUUUUGGUUUUAUUUCUCUCUCACUCUUUUGUCAUCACAUCACUUCUUCUUGUCUUCGUGAACUCUAAAAAAUUCAGUAAGUUCGUUUGUUUGUUUUAAAUUAAUUUUCUGUAGAUUUUGGUAAUGUAUUAUGGAGAUUCUCUUACAAGAGGGCUUAAAUAAACAUUGCUUUGAAAUCCUCUAUCAAUUGUAAUGAAGCUUUCUGUUUUCCUUUUUUCUUUAGAGUACAAUUAAUUUUUUCCUCCUCAUCAUAUAUUCACAGUUAGGUAAGAAUGAUUCCUGUUAGAAUUGGUUACUGAAAAUUACGAAAAGACUAGGUGAAAUUCCCGUCUUCCUCAAUGUGGGGGUCUUUUUCUUCCGGCAGCUGCAAAUAGGCUGGGCUGCCGUAAAGGGGAAAUUACUGGAAUUGCCCCCUGUGCCUGAGUUCGAAAAUUAAGCCCCAAAAGCACUUCGAAAGGGCAGUAAAGCCUUAGGAAGUGUUCUGGUUACCUUUACCAACGAAAAUGAUGGCUGCUUACAGGUGAUUUAUGCUUGCUUACAGAUAAAGUUUUAGCUUAGCAUGAGGAGAUUGUGGCAUGGGAGCAAGGUCAGCAUAAGUUGAGCACCAAAGAGGAAAAUAAGGCUUCCUAGGGAGAAAUGGGAGUGUUUAAGAUGAGGGAGACAAGGUUUGCAGGAUGAUCUUGGCUAAAAAGGGGUAAAGGAAGGGCAUUACUUCUUCCGGCAGCUUGACAGACUCUGAAAAUAGUCUGUUAACAGAGAAGAACAAAGAAGAAGAGUGAAUAGGGCUACUGGAUUUUUUACAAGUAAGAGAGGAAGCUUGCUCUCUCAGCCUGGGUUGGUUUUUGCUAGGUGGAAGGGACCUCCUUUUAUAGCUGAGGGAAACCUUCAUUCCCCAAGAAAACCUAAUGGUUUCUUCCCCAACUUAGCAAGUUUUUUCCUUCCCUUUUCCUGUCUUAUCUUGACUUUUCCCUAUUUUGGUAAGACUUCCCAGAUCAAUUUGCACAAAAUUAGGAAUUUUGGAGCUCAAGGCCCCCUUUCCCGCGGCUGCUCCAGUGGAGGUUUUCCACUUCCAGCCAUUUUAUUUUCCUUUCUUUCUCACUCCUUCCUAUGACCAGUUUUGAUAGGGAAGGAGUUGGGAUGUGUAUGUUGGUUUGAAGAGUGUCUCUCUUCCUGGCAGCUUGCAUGUUAACAUCCAUUGGUUUCUCUGGUGUUUUGUUUUGGAACUUGAUCUCUUCCAAUGUGUUGUCACUUCCCAGCAGCUCUGUUCAAUGAUUCUGCAGACCUCUACGUGGCUUCUAUUUUUUCCAGCAAAGGGCUGAGAUUUUUAUGGCUUAUUUUUGGGGUUUUUGUAUGGGCUAAAGUGGUUUCUUAAGCAAGUGGGCUAUUUAAACAUUGGGCUUUUGGUUGGGCUAUCCUUUGACUGGGCUAAUUUUGGUUGGGUUAUUUUGGUUGAGUUAUUUUGGUUGGGUUAUUUUCUCUUUUGUGCUCACCCACAUGUUUGGGCCUAAGAAAUGGGCUUGGGUUCCGAGGCUCCCAAGCAACCCGGAACCUCCAUUUCUUGACCCAUCAAUGGGCCUCAUGAUGACCUAUUACCAUCCAUACCACAACCCACUCAAACAAGCCCCGGGCAUCUUGCGUGGCUUGGGCCCACUUAAGCUUGUAGCAUGGCAUGUUGUUUAUUUGCUUGGCGUGGCAUGUGUAUAAGCGCAUAUGGCAAACUUUCGCGUGCCCCAAAUUGGGUUUCUUCUCGGUAAGAUAUCGCAUUGGGCUGAGAAUUUAUUUGGGCCGAAGCGUGGAUUUUUUUUGGGCCUCAACAUUAGCCCCCUUGAUUAUUGGGGCCAUGAAUGUGUGUUGAAAUGGUCCAAAUAAUCAAUUUCCAGCCCAAAAUAAAUUGCAGUGGCAUGGCAUGGGUUCAGGAGCAACUCAAGGAUGACCAGUUAAAUGUCUCUGAAAUUACAGCCAGGUCUUUUCCGGGAAUGUUGGAGGGGUCGCAAUGGUCCCGCUUAAAACCCAAUCCUUCUUAAACACCGAGGGUGUUGCCUUGAAGAAUUUUCCUAGACACUGUAAUUUUGGAGGUCACUUACUAGAGUUACCAAGAGUUGGCCUAUUUUGUGGCAUGAUAUAGAAGAAAAUGCUUGGUGGAUUAGCUCAAAAUAACUUAGCUUGCAUGAUUUAUUUGCUUGAGUGACUAGAGAGACUUGAUUUUGCAUGGUUGUGAUUUGCAAGAGUUGCAUUGAUUUGCACGCUUGAUGUUGGCAUGUAUUCUUGGUAUCUGGCUUGAUGCUUGGCAUUGGCAUGUAUGCUUGAUUUGUGCAUGUAUGCUUGGUACUGCUUGGCUUUGGCUUGUAUUGAGUUUACAGCACCAGCCCCAGAACACUUGAAUUUGGCAGACAAAACCUUAGUGAACGUGAUAGUGUGCGACAUGAUGGCUAGAUAUUGGAAGAAUGCUUGAAGUAGGGCAUGUGCUGGGAGGGCAUUUGGAAUAGGGCAUGUGCUGGAAGGAUAUUUGAAACAGGGCAGGUGCUAAAAAAAAAUGCUUUAAAUAGGGCACGUGCUGGAAGGAUGUUUGAAGUAAGGCAUGUGCUGGAAGGAUGUUUGAAGUAAGGCAUGUGCUGAAAAAUAUUUUGUUUGAAAUGGGACAUGGCAUGUGCCUGAAGCACGUGACUUGGCUUGACAUGAUUUAUCUUCUGGUUUUCCCUCAUUCUCUUCUUUCUUCUUCUUCUCCAAGACCCAAACCCGUGGGUAUUGUGCAUCAGUACAUAAGUCAUAUUUUGGAAGCUCGGAUCAGAAAACUUCCUUGAUGAAAGUUGCUCAUCUGCUCGAGUACUAUAGCCUGUAAAAUUUUCUGAUUUCUUUGAAUUUUUCUGAUGCCUCAAAGCUGGUCUGCAACUUCUGUGUUCAUCCAUGGCUGGUGAGGUUCUGCAGAUUCUGCUUCUGCAUGUGUCUUUAACUUAAGAUGCUUGGAUGAUUGCACUUGCUUCACAAAAUUUGCUCGAAAUUAUGUUGUUUAUAACAUAUCCAAAAUUGAGAAUCAUCCACCCAUCCUAGUGCUUUCUGCCUCCAUUUUUCUGAAGCAUGUUCAUGAGUUGAUGUUGAUGCCUUUGUUGCAUGCUUGUUUUCUAUGCUUGAAUGCUUGAGUUCCUCUGUACUUCCCAACAUUUGUGGACUAGAAAUCAAAUUCUGAUGUUGAACUUCUGGUUUAGGAUUCUGGCUUGGUGAUAAACAAGAGUCAUACGAGUUCACUUGGGUAUGCAUGCCAAGUGUUUGUCAAAAUAUCUCAAAGUAGCUUGCUGAUUGUUUUUUGAACUUUUGAAAUGUUUCUUUUCGAAUCUGAGUUGGAUCUUUAUAAAAAAUGGACUUCUCAAUGGCUAUGUUGGAAUUGGUCAUGCGUCACUUGAAGAAAAAAUGAAUUUUUGGUGGAAUUUCAAAGUAAGGGCUAAGCUACUGGAGCUGUGCAGUUCCUGUGGCAUGGGCUGUUUUAGGAAUCUGUUUGACAUGCUUCCCUAGCUCGAAAUGCAACGAAAUUUUGGGCAAAUGAAUCUUGAUAUGUCUAGUUCUAAUCUGGAAAGUCUGGGAUUUUUUGGUUGUAAGCUUGAUUUAUAGUGAUUUUCUAAAGGUGGGAUGUUCUAGCUGGAAUGGUUGGAAAGUUUGUGUAUAAGUUUUGCUUGGCAUGUUGCUUUUUCUUGGGAAUUUAGCAUGUCCUUUCUGUUGGCAUUGAGUGCCGAUCUGAGUAUUGCUAGAGCAUGUUCUUGAGCAAUAUUUUUGUGAGAGCAUGAUAUUGAAAGGUAUUGUCGUAAGAGCAUGAGUUCUUCAAUUUGCUUGAAAUGCUCGAAUUGCUUGGAAUGCUUGAAUGAAAUGAAAUUUCUUGGCAUGUGGAUUGGUAUCAUGCCCUGUGAAUUUUGUCAAAUGCUUGAUAGAUGAGUUUGCUUGCACUUUGAGAAAAUUAUGCUUCCAGCGCCUUCCUUUGCAUAUGAGUACCUUUCCGGCGUCUGAUUUUGGCUAACAUAUUCUCUUGUUUAGAAUCUCCAAAGCAUGAGAAAGCAUGAGAGGUCUAAUUUUCUAGGAUUUCGAUGGCAUGAAAGUGGGCUUUGGUCUCUUGCAACUUGUCUUUGGAAAAAAUUAUGCUUCAAUAGCGAUUAUGCUUCCGGCAUCCCCUUUUAUCAUGUGGUGGCCCUUUUUGAGCUGGUGAAAAGGCUGAACUUUGCAUGAUGCAUUUUUUUUUCUAUGCAGGUGUAUACGUCUUUGGCACAGGCAGGGGAAGGUGUCGGAAGCCUGCGUUGUAUCCCUUGCCGUUGGAAGCUUCGAGUGUACCGACUUCGCAACUUGGCAAUUUGGAUUUCUAUCUUGAUUUCUCAAUAAAUAGUUCUGCUCCUUCACUAGAAUCGUGAGUCUUUCUUUCGGCUUUGUAGGAAUAGACAUAGACUGGUGUUUGGCCUAGGCUUGUUUUUCUUGUGAACACACGCUUGAUUAAAUCUGGACUUUUCUCCGAUCUUGUGGAAAUAGAAAUUGACAGAAUGCAUGCUCUGCAAUGCUUGAAUCUUUUUGUAUUUUGAGGGAGAAUUUGCUUGUCAUGGGAAUUGCUUGAGAAUUUUGCUUGCCAUGGAUAAAUUGCAUGCUGCUUUGAUAUUUGCUUAAGCCUUUUCUUUGGCAUGAGCUUGACUUGCAUGCUUGGCGUAUACUUUGCAUGUGCUACGUUCUUGACCACCUUCUUUGAUUGAACUAUAUGCAUCAUGAGCAUAUGCUUGUAACUGUAUGAUUAAUACAUAGGGUUAGAGGCUGUUGAAAGUUGGAGGAGAGCACCAUUUGUUUCCUCUUUUGAGCUUAGAGUUUGGACAUGGCUAACCUUUUUUUCUUGGCUUUAUAGGGAUAGAUAUAAACAUGUAUAUGAUGGGUCUGCAAGAUUGUCAUGUAACUCAUAGGGAUUUUUUUGUUUUUGUGAAAAAGGUUACUAGGAGGUAAGUGGUGUUCAGUUUGUAACACUUGCUUUGUGAAAAGGGUCUGCUGGAAUGAUUGAUUGAGCAUGAAAUGGGAACUUUGCUUGUCAUAAGCUCGAGUAAUAGAUUGCAUGAUGCUUCAAAUUUUUUUUUUUUUGUUUAUGCAUUUCGCUUGGCAUGAGAUGGCUUGCUUUGCUUGGCCUGUGAAGUUCAUAUAGCUUGCAUGCUAGCAUGGAGAUUUCUUGGCUUUAACACAGAGAACCUGCUUCAUACUUUGCCCUUUUACAGCAUAUUCCUCGUUGGUAAUUCUUGCAGGGACUCACAUAAUAAGUCCCAAUGACCUUUGUGAUGAGUGAUAGCCUAUUUCCUCUUGCACGACGGGUUGAAGAAUGGACAACUACCUUCAUAGCUUAGAAACACUUACCAAGACUCGAUCAUAGGCACUGAGUAAGCUUAGGAAGCUACUCUCAUUUCCAGGUGUUGUAUAGAAGAAAGACAUGUUUCAGGCGGCCACCUUAUUUUUUAAUACCCUUGCAGCAUCACUAAGGGCUGGCCACAGUGGUUCGAUCGCGAGUUGACAGCCCCGACUACCAAAGAUGUUUUGUCAAGGAAACAUCGUUUUUGACCUUACAGCAGCGUGCUGAAAGGGCUUAAGCGUGUGUCUUAUUAGGAUUUUGCAUGGACUUCCGGCUGAAUACUUAGAAGAAGCACACAUUAUUAUUAUUAUUAUUAUUUUUUAAGCACGAGCUGCUUGUAGCAUGAAGAUGUAUGCAUGAUCCCCUUAAGCAAGAGUUGUCGUUAAUGCGUUAAGCCUUCAGGAACAUGAAUUGGAGAGCCAGUGCCGUAAGCUAUGAGACCUUCUCCUUGACAAAUAAGCGAUUGAGAAUGGCGCUCGGUGCAUGGUGGAAACAUCGAAAGGAUCAUCUAAUAGUGCUUCUUCUAUUCUGUUUUAGUCAUGCACCGUGAUCUAGUUGAGAUAUCCGAUUCUCCUUCUUCGCACCGUAAUAUAUAUGUAUAUAUAUUCUUUUAAUAGAAAGGGCAUAUCUUCCAGCACCAUCUUUCUCUACCACUUAUUCUUAUUUCAUUUUGCAUGCUGCAUUUCUUUGUUGUAGGGGCUAGCUGGCUCAGUGUGUAGUAGCUUUUCCUUUUGAAACUGUAGGGUGUAUCGAUCUUUAGCAUAGUUGACUGCAUUUGGGCUCGAGUUGUACCCCUUUUGUUUGGAGAGCCUAAAGCUCAUGUUGUUGGAAACUUGGAACACAACAUUGUUGCAUACUUUAUAUCAUAACUCUUGAUGUAGAAUGCUUGAGAUAUUGAGCUUCGGCCUAUUUUGUACGCUUUGCUCGGUUGGAAACAAUGAAAUGCAUGAAUUGUUGCAAUUUGGAAUGCAUUGAGAUAAAGAUUUCCAGCUUGUUCUGUACACUCUGCCUGGCUGAAAUACAUGAGUUGCUUGAGAUUUCAUCAGGUCAGGUUGUGGUAGGUGCAAGGUACAUGCUGCCAAUAUUUCUUUUUUUCAGGUUGAGAGCAUCUCACAAGUCGCGGAGGAUACACUUCCUACUCCUCCUCUUGGGACGUCUGGCGUAGCUGCCUACACUGCCAUGCGCCUUCCAGCAGCGCAGCCUCCUGCUCAUCCUUUCCUAAACACAUCUGACACAACUGCUGGCACCUCUCCACAGCUUCCAGCAGUGCUGCCUCCUUUCCUAAGCACAUCCGACACAACUGUCGGCACCUCUCCACAGCUUCCAGCAGUGCUGCCUCCUUUCCUAAGCACAUCCGACAUAACUUCCGGCACCUCUCCACAGCUUCCAGCAGUGCUGCCUCGUGGUGAGAUUAUUGAUGACAGCCAUAAGGAGGAUGAUGUUUCCAUUUCCAUGGGGCAUUUAUCGGAGGAAAGCAUGUCUUGGCAAGAUUGGGAGAAUUCCUUCAUGGCGUUCAAAGCCUUUUUUAAUGGUGGUGCUAAGAUAUGUGAGGCCAUAACUCUGGGCUUUCAUGUGGACUUCCCCAUCAAUCUCGUGAGGAACCUAGCAUGUGCUGUCUUUGGAGUGCGGGCCAUUCAUAGCAUGAAAUUAUCACAUGGUUCUAGUGAGGUGAAAGCUGCUGCCGACACUUUGAACAUUAAGCAACAGGAAUUGGAUAGCCAGCGCAGGGAAGUGCAUGCCUUUUUCCUUGCUAAGUGCGUGACGGAGACAACAACCAGAUCAUCUCCUAGGGCUUCUUUCGUUCUUUUUGGGCAUUCUUCAUAGCUUCAAGGUAUAUAAUUCCUCUUUUUUUUAUUUUUUUUAUUUUAUCGGGUUACUCCUUCCAGCAUCACUUGAUCUUGACACACGUCUUCUUCUUGCAGGUCGUCUCCUCUUGGCUUGGUGACUGAUUAUCUUGGCGCGUGGUUCUGUUCCCUUGAAGACCAUAGGCUGCAUGGGUCUUUAGCAUGUGUAGUUUUAUCUUGCUUUGACUAUAGUUUUUUUUUUCGUUUUCUUUUGGACACUCUAACGACCCUGUCGUUAUGAAUUCGUAAUGUAGUGUUGAAUCACUGGAGCUUGUAUUAACUUCCGAAUGCUUGAGGCAUGUUGUAAUUUGCAUGUCUUAUAUAUAAAUAUUGCUUGGUUGGCAAAAUUUAUUUUUAUGAGCUGCUGGAGAUUUUCUGACAGGUUAGAUAUCCUUAAAAACAAGGUAUAUGCCGCCAAAAUUUUGUCUGACCACUAGGCCUGAAAAACACCCUCUUGUCAUACCCAAAAAGGGUCAGACUAGUAUAUGCAUGGUCUUUGUAAAAUUCCCAGAUAUUUUGCAUAUUCUGGUUGCUCAUCAAAAGGGGACAAUGGUUUCGUUGUUCCAGCAGCUCAAGAAUGCAUGCCCCAUAUUAUUUUGCUUUGGCGUGGUGCUUGUUGAUGGCCUCGGACCCCAUCCAAGUGACUUUGCUUGGCAUGGUUACUGCUGAGGGGCUUAGCUUUUUUAAAGAAAAGUUUGCUUGUCUAUUUUUUUUUUAAAGAACAUGUUUUGCAAAACAAAAGAAGGUAAAAGCAUGGAAAGAAUUCUAUAGGCUUUUUUCAUUUUCCAAACUACUCCAAAUAUCAUCUUACCCCUUGGCAUGCCAUAACAGUGGUGCAUUCUUCAAAAGUCGUGAAAGCAUAUGAUGAAAACACAAAAGGAGUUCAUCUUUGAAAUAAAUUUGAAAAGCCAAAAGCAAAAGGAUAGGUGUAAAAGCAACUCAGCAGUCGUAAGGCUUUGAGCCAUUUUGCAUUGAUAAAUACUCCCAUCAAAUUAAGCCCCCAAGUAUGAAAGGGCCAAGGAGUGUGCAUGUCUUGUAAUAGCAUGAAAGCUUGUGGCUUAGAUUGGCAUGUACUUGGCAUGUGUUGUAGUAGGCUGCCAUGCCGUGCAGAGAUAUUUAACAGAGCCACAGCUGCUGCUUUACAUCAUACAGAUCAUAAUCCAACUAAUCAAAGAGUGAUUUGCAGCUCAUAACCCAUUGUACUUUCUUCAACUUUUGUGAGGUUAUGAGAGGUUACGGCAGCUGUCUCUUGAUAAUCUUGCUAACCAAAUGAAGCCCCCAAGUGGCGUUCUUCCGGCAUGUCCAAUGUGAAUACUUCGCUGCUGGAAACAUUCUCCCAUCCAUCAGUAAGUGGCCAUGGGGUGCUAUAACUUGAAGAUUUUGAAUAUUUACACCAGUAAGCUUUCUCCAAUGUUUCCACAAGGCUCCCAAAUAGCCUUCGAUGGCUUUGGGUCAUUGCAUGGCGUGAUGAACUUAGGAUAUCCCUCUAUUGCAAUGUUGACAAUUUAGCAUGAUAGCAUGGCUUCUUCUCUGCGCUUCCGGCAGCUAGAAAUACCAAGUUCUCAUUUUUAUGUUGAUUGUGCUGCUUGAAAAGCUUGAUCUUGUGAUAUCUAGUUUUGCUUGAAAUGAUUGCAUCAAGUGAAAUGUUUGCAUGAUUUUGGAGAUGGAUUUUUUCUUCUUGGCAUGAUUCCUCUUUAGACCAUCUCCUAUGGCACAAUUUUGUUGUUGGCAUGGCUUGGCGCCACUGAGCGUGUUGAGAUGCUGAUCGGUGCAGGAACAUAGGGUCCCAUGCUCCUUGAGGCUUGUGGUGUAGAGAAGUGUACUCAUCGUCUUUAAAAGGACAAAGUGCUUGACAGAUAUAUAAUUUUUGCAUGACCAAAGCAGAUGGUGGUUAAAAUAAUACAUGUGUUGCAGCUUGUAAAUGAAUAUAAUUGAUAUUUGUCGAUUUCAAAUGAAUGUCAUCCAACAUCAUUAACUAACGAAUGAAUCACACAUCAAUAUUAAACCAACAUAGGUUGCUUUCAGUAAUAUGCAAGCAUGUGAUGCUUUGGAAAUUAUUAAAGCACGUGAUGAUACUCGUGCUUUGAGUAGUGUGUAAAUGCCUAGUGUUUGUAUUCCUUUCAAAGUGAAAGACAAGAAAUAAAGGAAGCUGAAUAGCCCAACUUCACUCUGUUGGUAUUGGCCUAAAACAUGAUUUAUAUAUAUAUAAGAAAAAAAAAAUUAUCAUUACAUGUUUAUAUUUGAAUAGAUGACAUGCUUGUGCUGCUUUUACAAGUAUGGCAUAUGGCAUGAUAAUAUAUAUUUUAUUGUGAAAUCUUAAAAAGGUAGGAAAGAAAAAGAAAGAUCUUCUUAUCUUUGGCCUCCAAUAGAGAGCAUGUGGAGUGUGGAACCGAGAUUGGCAUAGAAAGUCAGGGCAUUCUGUGGGCAGUGCUAAAGAUGAAGGUGAUGCAAGCAGCGUUCCGAAGAGGACUUGUUCAAUCUUGAGUUGCAUGGAUAAAUUGAGCUUUGGGGGUUAAGGAGCAUAUAUACUAGCAUGAUGUUUGAAAUAGGGCAGGGGUUAAGAAGAUUUGAAAUGAGGUAAGUGCCAUAAAUUCUUUGCUCGUAGAGUAAGGGCUGGAAGAAUGUAACUUGGCUUGGAAUGAUAUAGUUGGACUUGCUGAUGUGAAUAAUGUUCACACAACUCUUGGAACCAAGGCAUAGCUUAGUUUAGCAUGAGAAACUUUGAAGUGCUUGUGCUUGACUUUUUUUUUUUAAUUGGCAGGAAGCCCCCAAGUCAUUUGGAAUUGAAUUUUGACUCCUCUUUUUUUUUUUUUACAGAUUUGCUUGGCACGAAACCCCCAAGUAUUUUGGAGUUUGCAUGUGUAGUUCGCUCAAAGGCAUGAAUGAUGAAUUUGCCAAAGCCCCCAGCCCUCUUACAAGAUCUUGUUUUACUUAAGAAUGGAGAUCUAAGGCAUAAACAAAGGGAGCAUGUGAGCAAUCGAUAUCAUGUUUGUUCUGCAAAGCAGAUAGCCAAAAAAAGAAAAGGAAAGAAGGAAUGCUCUUAUCUCUUUAUUUUCUUUGGUUUAUUGUUUCUAGCAGCAGCUCUUCCAACGAUGGUGUUUGAAUGACAAGCUUGGCUCUGUCCUUCUUCCUUGGAGGCAUUGAUGAAGAUAAUGGCUUAAUCCCCAGCAGAGUCGCCAAUUUAUGUGGGGGUCUUUUUCUUCCGGCAGCUGCAAAUAGGCUGGGCUGCCGUAAAGGGGAAAUUACUGGAAUUGCCCCCUGUGCCUGAGUUCGAAAAUUAAGCCCCAAAAGCACUUCGAAAGGGCAGUAAAGCCUUAGGAAGUGUUCUGGUUACCUUUACCAACGAAAAUGAUGGCUGCUUACAGGUGAUUUAUGCUUGCUUACAGAUAAAGUUUUAGCUUAGCAUGAGGAGAUUGUGGCAUGGGAGCAAGGUCAGCAUAAGUUGAGCACCAAAGAGGAAAAUAAGGCUUCCUAGGGAGAAAUGGGAGUGUUUAAGAUGAGGGAGACAAGGUUUGCAGGAUGAUCUUGGCUAAAAAGGGGUAAAGGAAGGGCAUUACUUCUUCCGGCAGCUUGACAGACUCUGAAAAUAGUCUGUUAACAGAGAAGAACGAAGAAGAAGAGUGAAUAGGGCUACUGGAUUUUUUCCAAGUAAGAGAGGAAGCUUGCUCUCUCAGCCUGGGUUGGUUUUUGCUAGGUGGAAGGGACCUCCUUUUAUAGCUGAGGGAAACCUUCAUUCCCCAAGAAAACCUAAUGGUUUCUUCCCCAACUUAGCAAGUUUUUUCCUUCCCUUUUCCUGUCUUAUCUUGACUUUUCCCUAUUUUGGUAAGACUUCCCAGAUCAAUUUGCACAAAAUUAGGAAUUUUGGAGCUCAAGGCCCCCUUUCCCGCGGCUGCUCCAGUGGAGGUUUUCCACUUCCAGCCAUUUUAUUUUCCUUUCUUUCUCACUCCUUCCUAUGACCAGUUUUGAUAGGGAAGGAGUUGGGAUGUGUAUGUUGGUUUGAAGAGUGUCUCUCUUCCUGGCAGCUUGCAUGUUAACAUCCAUUGGUUUCUCUGGUGUUUUGUUUUGGAACUUGAUCUCUUCCAAUGUGUUGUCACUUCCCAGCAGCUCUAUUCAAUGAUUCUGCAGACCUCUACGUGGCUUCUAUUUUUUCCAGCAAAGGGCUGAGAUUUUUAUGGCUUAUUUUUGGGGUUUUUGUAUGGGCUAAAGUGGUUUCUUAAGCAAGUGGGCUAUUUAAACAUUAGGCUUUUGGUUGGGCUAUCCUUUGACUGGGCUAAUUUUGGUUGGGUUAUUUUGGUUGAGUUAUUUUGGUUGGGUUAUUUUCUCUUUUGUGCUCACCCACAUGUUUGGGCCUAAGAAAUGGGCUUGGGUUCCGAGGCUCCCAAGCAACCCGGAACCUCCAUUUCUUGACCCAUCAAUGGGCCUCAUGACGACCUAUUACCAUCCAUACCACAACCCACUCAAGCAAGCCCCGGGCAUCUUGCGUGGCUUGGGCCCACUUAAGCUUGUAGCAUGGCAUGUUGUUUAUUUGCUUGGCGUGGCAUGUGUAUAAGCGCAUAUGGCAAACUUUCGCGUGCCCCAAAUUGGGUUUCUUCUCGGUAAGAUAUCGCAUUGGGCUGAGAAUUUAUUUGGGCCGAAGCGUGGAUUUUUUUUGGGCCUCAACACUCAACAAUUGAAGACAACGACAACGAGUCGUUGUUGUUGUGCAGUCCUCCAGAACAACCCGUGAGGUCCUCGGCUAUCGUUUUUGUCGAGACGAUUUAUUGAGAUCGAGGCUACUUUGAUAUCACUAUACAAUUCUACCAUAUUCUCAAUCUAAUACCUUCAUCCACAAAUCUACAAGCAAAAACAAAAAUAUGAAGAAAAAAAUAUAGGAGAAUGGGGUGAUCCAAUUUGGCGAGCUCAGGCUUGGUCCCUUGAAAAAGUGUCAGAGCCAACAGUGGAGAAGAGACAUAGACAUCCGCACAAUGAAAAAGUCCAAAGAGGAAUAUGAUUUCAAAAUAAAAAAUGGAAGAACAAAAACUGAAAGUUGGGGUUGAAGAUGAAGAUUGGAGACUAGAGCUUGUGAAAAUGAGCUCUCCUCUUGCUUCAAUGCCUAAUAAAGGGAUUAGAAUUCCAAUUUUGUGUUAAAAGGGCAAUAAAGGUAUUUUAUUUUAUUAAUUAAAUUAAUAAAUGUACAGCUGUCAAUUUUCGAUUUUUGAAUUUUUUUGGGGCUUGUUUAUAGAAAUUAAAUGGUAUAGGAUUUCUUUAUAGCAUUAUGUCUAGUAAUGAGUAUCUAACUAAAUUUGUAAUUUAUAUUAACUAGAUUUGUAAUUUCUCUAUUUCAUAAAGCCUUCAAAAGUUUCGAAUGAUCAUUUUCCAUAGAUUUUUCAAAUAUUAAAAAUACUAAUACAUUUGUUGAUUCGAGAGAAUACUUGCCAUCCUAAAUGAAUAGAUACAUGGUAAAUUAUAAUUACGAUAAGAUUAGCAGCUAAUGUGUGCGAAAGUGAUAUUGAAAUCAACAUGCAGAGUUAAAUCUUUCGUUCUCUUAUUUUUAUGUUCAUUACUUGGAUGGCAUGUUUACUAAUCCAAUUAGGAGGAAUUGAAUUGAAUUGAGGAGUUGGAUUGAGGAAAAUUAGAUUCCGGAUUCCUAUUGAGUUUGUUUACUAAACUAUAUGAAUUGAGGAGAGUUAGAUUACGGAUUCCUAUUGAAGUUGUUUACUAAAUCAUAUAGAAUUGGGGUAGGAGUGGUACUAAUUACUAAAGGGUUAUUGACCAAAAUGGUUCCCCAACUAUUGCUCCAGUAUCAUUCUGGUCUAUCAACUAAAUUUUUCAUUUCAAUAGUCUUUCAACUAACAUAGUAACUAAAGUUCCAUUCACAUAUUUUUUUUUUAUAAUUAUAUUGGGUCGGUGUUUUACUGCCAGUCAUAAGUUUUGUGUUGGAUGCAGUACUCAUACUGGAGUUUGCUCCCAAAAAUAUAGCCAUCCCUACCCCCUCACGUCAAUCCCACGAGCCUCGAUGUAUUGUUUCAUUGUGAUAUAAUCUAAAUCGCAAUGUAAUUUUCUUGUUCCUAAAUGGGCUUCAUGAUCAAGAUACGGGUCAAAUAAUAAAUAUUCCUUUUUAGGUGGUCUACGAGCUGCUCUUCAUUUGGUAUCAAGACGGUCUUACCGUGAUAGAUUCUACCACUUCUGAACAUGCGAUGGCCACGUGACUAAGUUUUGAAGGGUAUAUGCAACUUUUUGAGAGGCUCUAUCCUUUAGAAGCAAAAUACCUAAAGUUUGGUGGAUGGUUCAAUUAUUUUAGGCAAUUACCAUGGACUGAAAGGGAUUCUUACAUGAGUCGCUGAAUUGGUCCAUGCUCUAGUAGUGUGCGAAUCACUAAAUUGGUCAAGUUAGUGUGUAAUUUCAGUGUUAAUUUUGGAGUUCAAAUUUGGGAGUUUGUGUUAGGGUUUGAUUUUGGGGAUUUUGAGAAAUUCACUGCUUGCUGAUAAUGGAGUUCGAAUUCCGUUCAGGUGGAGAGGCUCCAAAAUACGGUAAGGGCUUCUGUAAUGCAUUUCAUAUUGUUUUUGUUUGCAAAUAGAUGAGUUGUCCUUGAAUGGAAGUGUGAUUUCUUUAUGUGUGAAAGAUUCAUUUUCCUGUGUUUGUGUUCGGCUUUUUGGUUGUUUUAUGUUUAAAGUAAGGGUAAAGGAAUUGUUUUCUUGUAUAUGGGUUUAGCUUUAUGCUACAUUAACUGCAGAAUAUGUGUUUUUUUUUAAACGUCUGUGGUCCCUUGGUUGUCUGCUUCACACCAAACUCAGUAAUUGUUGUCCUUAACAUUAACAACAAAACUGUGACUUUAAAUUAACAUAUUGUUGUUUCAAUUUUGCAGCUACCAAUGGAAUGUUCACUAUAGAAUUACAUCAUGGGGGCUGGUUUGAAAAUGGGGUUUAUAAAAGGAGUAAGGUAUGUAAUUUGGACAAUAUUGUAGAUGAUUUUCUGUCCUUGUUAGAUUUAAUGAAAAUAGGGAGAGCUCUUAGGUAUGAUGUUGACAUUUCUCAAGUUCAGCAAAGUUUGAAAGUUAGGUAUAGAAAUGUUGAGGGUGAACUGGACUUCUUACAUUUGAUGCUAAAGUGGUUGAAAUUGUUGGUCACAUACCAUCCAAUAAGGUUAUUGUGUUAUACUAUGGUCAGAUUGAAAUUUUUAAUGGAGUUGGGAGUCAAGCAUCUGUUAAGUGGCCUAGUUUGGAAUGGAGAUUAUGACUAUGAUGUAGAUGCAGAGAAUUGUGGUGGGGAUGUGACGUUGCCUUUCAUUGAUGAAUUGGCAGAUAAUGACUUUUCCCAAGUGAAAGAGGUGGGUUAUAAUGAAGACGAGGAGACUUUUGAGAAUGUUGGGACAAAAUUGGAAAAUGAAGAUGCAGGGGCAGAAUUCCCAAAUCAAGAUGUUGGGGCAAAUAUGACAAUUGUUGAUGAAGGGGAAGAAUUGCCAAAUAAAGAUGAGGAUUCAAAAUUUAAAGAUAGUGAUUAUGAGUUCAAUGAAAAUGAGGUAGAGGUCAGGGCAACUGUUCAAGAGAAUAUAGCAGAUGAGGGGACUACUCAUGAGGCUCCAAGAAAGGUGUCAUCACAUGGUGCUAACACAUUAGAAUUUGACACUAGAAGUGAGAAAGAAGAUGAAGGUAAUGGUAGAAAAAAAAAAAACUGCCAAAGUUUAAGCAGUAUAGAAAAGAUGUAGAUUUGAAAAAUCCUGAGUUUAGAUUGGGAAUGAAGUCUGCAAACAAAAAACUACUGAUAGAGGCUAUCAAGGAGUAUGCAAUUAUACAUGGUAGGGAAGUGAAAUUGAUAAAGAAUGACAAGAGACAAGUUCAGGCAAAAUGUGUGGAAGGCUGUUUAUUCCAAGUAUAUGGAUCAAAGAUUGAUAUAGAGGAAGGGACAUUUGCAAUAAAAGAUUUGAGCCUAGAUCCUGAGUGUGGGAGGGUGGACAAGCUUAGGUAUACCACAUCAAACUGGCUUUGUGACAGAUAUGCAAACAAGCUCAAGCGAAACUUAGAGUUUGAUAUGAUAUCAUUUGAAGAAGAUGUGUUGGAAGAUUACAAAAUAAAUGUCACAAAAAUUCAAGUUUAUAGGGCAAAGAAGCUGGCCAAAGAUUUAAUUGAAGGUACUUACAAAGAAUAAUAUGAUGGGUUGUGCGAUUAUACAGAAUAAUUGAAGAAUGCAAACAAGGAUGGUACAAUUGCAAUUAAAACUCGGAUUAUGAGGGAUGAGACAGUGUUUCAGAGGAUUGCAAUUAAAACUCUCUCUUUUUUUCAUGAACCAUUUCUUUCAAUUUCUCUUGUAGUUCUUUCUUUUAUGAUUCCAUAGAUCUCAAAUUUUCCUCCUUUGCUCUACCUUCCGCCUCCAUUGCUCUAAGUCUUCUAAGCAAACCAGGGACCACUUGUUUUCCUCUUGGACAAGUUUCAUCAUCCACCCACUUGAAAAAAUGCAUACCUCUUCUGCUAUUCUGCAAAUAACCAAUUUCAGACCUCACUAAGAAAUUGGAGGGAAUCGUUUCAGCAUGUGGCUUGGUCGUUUUAAAGGAGGGUACUGACCUAAAAAUACUGUUUUGUCCCUCGAUUUCACCUAAUAGUUCACAGACUUUGACGAUAGGACCAUCUUCAUACUAAAUGAAGAGUUGAAAGACUAUUGAAAUGAAAAUUUUAGUGGUAGACCAAAAUGAUACUGGAGCAAUAGUUGAGGGACCAUUUCGGUCGAAAAUCCAAUUACUAAAAUUUCCUCGUUGUUGGGUUACAGUAGAUGAUAAAUUUGGAAUUUUUAAAAUUGUGUGAGGAUAUAAUGGGUAAAAAAGAUGAAUUCCUAAUGGAUUAGUUCUCUAAGAAUUAGAAUACCACCCCCUACCCAAGAAUUGAAUUCCUCCAAAAGCAAGAAUUGAAUUCCUAAGAAAGUUUUUGUAUUGAUAUUUUUAUACCUUCUAGGUUUGAGAGAUCAACAAAGAAAGCGAAAGAAACAGCUAAAUAGGGGAGAUUGAGCUGAAUGACUAAUUCAAAUUAUGUUUCUAAGACCAACAACAUAAGCAUGUGAGCGUCUUUCUUCUCGUACUUCAUGGGAAUGGCCAUGAGGCUGAUCUUCUUGGGGGGCCUUGUCUAGCGUGAACCCUUCGCUGAGGGCCCAUGCAGGUGUGAACAUCGGGUUGUGGGCCUAGCCUCUCGUGUACGUUGAUCCUUAGACUUAAUCUCGAUUGGAGACUCGAUCUACUUUAAGCGAGGCUCGCGGAUGCUUGCGACAUACUGACGUGCUAAGCACACUUUUGUCCUUCUCCUUGUCUACUUGCCCCUGCUCAACCUACAUGAGACCUCUCAAACUGCCUGCGGGUGCUUUUGUCCAUCCUUCUCUAUUCGCCUUGCAGUCUAAGGCCAAAGUCUCGAACCAAGUCAAUCUGGUUGAGGAGCUUUACAACCAAGUUAUUUUGGUUGUCCACUUUUUGAGUCAACUGGUCAAAUCUAAGACUGAGGUCUUGUAACAUCCCACAUUGACCAACAAAGAGGAGGUAAUGUGCAUUAUGUGUACAUGCCCGCCUCCAUCUAGCACCAGGCCUUUUGGGAGCUCACUGGCUUUGGAGUCAUGGGAAUUCCGAAGUUAAGCGAGUUGGGGCUAGAGCAAUCCCAGGAUAGGUGACCCACUGGGAAGUUGCUUGUAAGUUCUCAGAAACAAAAUCGUGAGAGCAGAGAGGGGGCCCAAAGUGGACAAUAUUAUGCUACGGUGGAGCGAUCCCAGGAUGUGAUAGGUUUGCUUGACUUUGUGGAUCAAGAAGAGAGAAUUGCUUGGAGCCCAAUUUCACGCGGGCUAGGGUUUCACUAGAGGUGUACACGGGAGCAUACGUUUAGAAUUACUUAGAAUGUCUUGUGUGGCUAUGUAUUUAUAGCCUCCUUGUGUGCUAGGGUUUUGGGAGAAUAAUCCUUAUUUGGUUAGAAUUAUUCUUCCCUAAAAAGAUGAUAGGAAUUACUCCAAUAGAUUUAGUAGAUAUUGGUUCCUUGAUAUAGGGAGAUAUUCGUAUCUUAAGUCAAAGAUAAUUUUCCUAAUUAAAUAGAAAUUAAUUGGGGUAAUUAGUUUGACCUAAGAAAUAUUCUUUUUCCACGUGUCGUCUUCUUAUUGGCCAGUGAAAUAUAUGAUCCCACAAACUCCAUGAUUAAACCACUCAAGGGGAUAACGUAACAUCCCAUCCCAAAAAUUAAUGUUUAAUUGCUUAUUUAUUGUGAAAUUACAUUUUUGCCCUUGUGUGUACCGGCAUUUUAGUCACUUUUUAUUCAGAAAAGAAUUUGGGGAAUUGAGCGGCACCAUUGCGUAGAUCUUGACGAUACAAGUAAGUAGACAGGCGGCACGCUCAAUUCUGAGUUGUAACAAAUGAGUAAAGGUGUAGAAACAAAAAGAUGUAAUGGGAAUUUUUCAAAUUUAUUGUUGUGCGCUACAAUACCUACUACAGUAACCAGGAUUUCUUUUUAUUUUUAUACUUCUUCUUUCUUUCUCCCUCCCUCGCGAGAUUUUUUCUUCUUCCUCUGUCCAUUCACAACAGUCACUGCAGCAAACAGUGAUUGUUCGACUUCCUGGCCUCCAAUAGAUGACGUCGUGCAACAGUUGGCCGCGCCACCUUCACGAAAAAUGUUCAUCGAGUCCUCCUCUACCAAGCCUAGGGAUAACAUCAACCAUCAAGCAUUUCAGCAAUUUUAACGAAAAAUAGCCUAGGUGGCUUUGUCUUUUUUUCCUAGCGAUUUUUGGGUGUUUUCCAUCGAUUUCGAUGGCCAAAUCCGUCAAGUGAGGUAUGGAAAUUCAUCCCCUCAUCAUGCUCUACUUGUUUAUGUAGUUAUUUUUGGUUAAUUUUGGAGUUUUGGAUAUUGAUUUAAAUACCCAUAUUGGGCCAACGGUUUUGGCCCUUUUUCACCCAUUUUCGGCGGCUUUUUGGCCUAGUCCGAGACCAAAAGUUGCUCCCCUUGUAAAUUUGAAUGCAUUGGUAUAGGUAUUGGCAGGUAGUUUGAAAUCUCUCAAGACACCCACCGCUGCAGGUGGCAGGUGGCUAUGUGUGGGCAACUUGGUGGCAGUUUAUAGAGUUCCAAAAUGCUCCCCAUGUCGCGAGCACGACGGUAUGCUCGGAUUAGCAAUUGGACAUCAUUUGACUAUCGAAUGGAUAUUACACCUAUUAGGUGAUAUCUGGGUUCGAUAGGUUCAGACCCGUCUGAUCAGUCUCAUUUUCAAAUAUGUCAUUCUUCGUAUCUCUACGAUCAUGUAGAAACUGGUUGAUCGAGAAUCUGACUUCCGGAUACUCCGGAUUAAUGAUUUUAGGGUUAAGUACUAAUUCGACGUCCAAUCUUUCUAUCGUGAGUGAUCCGACCGCUAAAUCGAGACCAAACUCUCGAGACGUGUAACGUAGACCUUGUUGGACUUAUAGGAACGUUCGGAUCGGAAAUCAAUGGUUGUGGGCCCCGUGGGUCCAAUUGGUCAAAUUCCUCGAUCGUGGUCAAACCGAUCUUUGGAUUGUGACAAGACUUCUAAGAUGGGUUUAACUUAUGGUUAUGGACCAAUAGGAAUUGUCAUAUAACAAAUUGAGGUCGUGGGCCCUACGAGCCUAGUUAGCUAAGAUAGUGGGCUAUGUCGGCUCGGUUGAGGCCAUUUAGUAGUUGUAAUUGUAAUUGGAGGUUUGUUUUAAAUUGGUAUUAUACUUUGAGAGUUUUAUUAAAUGUUUAUGACUUACUAUGCAAUCGCUUUUACUUUCCAAUCAUGUUAUAUUAUGUUUAAUUGUGUAGAAUUGAGAAUGACUUAGAUAAAUGGGUUUUGGCAUGAAUAAGGAAUUAAUUAAAUGCUUGAUUUUAUGUCUAUAUUUAAAUAUAUGCUCGGUGGCUUGAAAUCGAUGAAUUAUGAAUACUAGUUUUCUCAAUAGUAUGUUGUACAUAUUUGAAUGUAGGUUGAGAACAGUUUUGAAAGAUUAUGCAUGGUCAAAUUCAAGUUAAGGAAUGUUGGGAUUGAUCUUGUUUUAAAAAGGGAUUUUUGGUUAUCUAUUUAAGAACUGAUUUUUUGGAAAGUUGAGAAAAGAUUUGGAAAAUAGAUUUGUGAAAGUGGAUUUGAGGGAAAAGAGGAAUUUUAUGAUAAGUUUCGGAAAAUGGUUUUCAAACCCACCACAGGAGUACCCCUCCGGUUGCCUUCGGAACAGUCUAGUCAUUUAUGACAAUGCACCACGAGUCUCGGGGACGCCUGAAUCAUGUGGUGUGAGGAUUUGCAUUCUCAGGUUGAUUAUAUCUUCCUAAGUUCUGUGAGGGAAUUUGACGGAUUUGCUUUUCGGGCUGAUCACCCGAUUCUGCAAGGAUAUGCGUUCUAGGGCUGACCACGUGUCCCCGAGUUCUGCGAGGAAAUGAGUUCUCGGGCUGACUACGUGUUCCCUGAGUUUUGCGAGGAUAUGUGUUCUCGGAUUGACCAUGUGCCCCCCGAGUUCUGCGAGGAUGUAACAUAUAUGGUACUUGAAAUUGACGGAUUAUGAUUUGGGGUACGCCUAAGUGGAGAGUAUUUGAGUUUUGAGAUGUUUUAAACUAAAAUUGAUAAUUUUAUCUUGGUAUUUAUUGGUGAAAGUUUUAAUACAUGUUUUCAGAUUUAUGAGACAAAAAUUGAGAGUUUUCUAAGUUUUAAUAAUUUUAUACAAUUCACAACUAUUUUCUUAAGUGAUGAGUUUGUUUUAACAUGUGAAAGAUGGAAGCAUGUUUUAUUCAAACAGUUGAUAUUGAUAUUGAGGUUUCACGUGGCCAAUGUUAUUUUAAUAAUUUUCUUGUUUUCCUACUUAUCUGUAAUGAGCUAUUAUAUGUAUGUAUUUGUAUAUGCACAUAUGUGAUGGGUGGAAGAUCAAUAUCUUUUGUUUAAGUUUUAGCGGAUUGAUUAGAGUUUGAAGCUUUUGGUUUUAGGAAAGUGUGAAAGAAUAUUUAAUUCAUGUGCUUACAUAUGGGUUGAACUUUAUUUUCUUGUAUGAAGAACUACAUGUGGCUUGAUCCCUUGGUAAGGGUACGCAGGCAACCUAGAGUUACUAGGUGCAGCAGCAAGAUCAAGUGCUGAAAAUUUGUUCAGUUAGGUCAUUUUGGAAAUUGUUAACAUAUCCAUGUUGUUCUAAGAGUUGAGACCAGAUUCAGAUGGUUGAAUGAUUUAUGUGGUAUAAAGAGGCCUGAUGCCAUUCAGAUUUAAUUGUCUGAUGCAUGCUGAAUGAUUGGGAUUUUUUUUUUAAACUGCAUAUCUUUUUUACAGGUGAAAAUUUAUUAGGAAAUGUCCGUUUUUCAAGGGAGAUUCUACCGGUUUUCUAGCGACGUUAAACCCCUAAAGGUGUUUUCGUUUUGCAGUUCAGGGCAAAAAUGGUAUUUUGGUCAUUUAUGCACGGCACCUGCCAAGUGUGGGACACGCACAGGGUUGGAAUUUGGGUCGGGUCUUGUUAGAUAAAGUCCAGAAUAUGGUAGAUGCCAUUUAAAGAAUAUAUGUUCCGAUUAUCAUCUUAGACUAGCAAAUAAGGAGCAUGAAUUCCUAGCAGUUACACAAUUGACAAAUCAAAGCCAAUAAGCAUAGAAUAUAAAUUCACAAUCCUUUCUGUAUUGAGAUCUUAUUACUCUUCGUGAUUAUGAGUCAUUGCAUCAUUAAUGACAACCUUUUAUGUAUGUAGGACUAUUGCAUUCAUUGAGAAAUUAUACAUGGAAAAAAAUUCCACUCAUUAACCAUUUCAAAAUUAGUUUUUAGGGCUAGAAACUUUUGACAACCAUUAAGGCACUUUCAUAUUUUUCAUUUAAUCUAUUGGCUCUGGAAAAAUGGUUAAAUGCCAAAAUAAUCUUUGUGUUAUCAAUUUCGAUAAUUUAGUCAUUGUAUUUUUAAUUUAGCCAAUUCAAUUCUCGUGUUUCAUGUUAGCCAAAAAACAAAUUGUUUAAAAACAAAACUAAGAUUGAAAAAAGAAACAAAACACUCUCCAACCAUGGAAGUGAUGGAAAGAGUAGGGGUAGGCAUCAAUAUGACUGAAUCGACUAAACUGAUUGAUUUAAACCAUAAUUAUCAAGUUGGUUCGUUUUGGCUAAGAAACAAUCAAAUGGUUUAGAAAUCAAACCAAAUUGUAAAUGGUUUGAUUUGGUUUGGUUUUGAGCUUUCGCAAACCGGCCUAAACCGAAUUGGACCUUCUACUUGUAUAUUUAUUUAUUUUAAUUUAAUUAUACAUGUGUAGUUCUUUCACUGGAUAAUAACUAGAUAUGGAUGUUGAAUUUUAAGUUUUAUGACAAUUUUUUUUUUUUGGAAAUACAGCGAUUACAAAUUAUAAAAUAUAGGGAGGGGGGCUCAAAGAUAACAUGAGGUUUCUAUCCUGGGUGCCAAGCAUGUUGGGUUCUUGUAUGGUUUGAUACACUAGAAAAUGAAAAAUAAAAAGGUAGCAUGUUGUGACUUUUUGUUGUUGUAAUUGGGGUAAAAAUGUUGAAAAAAAAAAACUAAAGGAAAAAUAAUUGGGCUUAGGCCCAAAUCAGCCGAACCAAAACAUCUUCAAUUGAUUUGGUUUGGUUUUCUUCAUAACUUUCGUCAAAAUCGAACCAAACUAAUUCGUUAUAUUGUAAUUGGUUCGAUCGCGAUUUUGUGAUGAAACUGAUCCAAUUCGAAUUGUACCCACCCCUCACAACUAACAUAGUAAAACACAUAAUCAAAUUGGCUCAUUUGAAAACAUAGGUACCACAUUGGUGAAAUGGAUAAAAUUUGUAGACCAUCUUAGUAUUUAACCCUUAAGAAAAUGCCCUUCCUUUUUUUUAGACUUUUCUCCAACCUACAAAAAAUUGGACUAGGCAAAUUCACCGAAAAAUCGCUCAAAUUGACCAAACCAAAAAUGCUAAAAACCAAGUUGUAUUGCUUGUAAUCUAUAUUGCACAGAUACAGAUAUGGGUACGCCGAUACAUAUGAUUCCCCGAUACGACAAAUCUCAAAACUAGAGUACGAAUACGCACCGAUACGGUGAUUAAAAUAAUAUGAAUAAUGCUAUUUGGACACACAACAUUGACCAUCUUAACUUACCACCUUAUGUGGCAACUGAUGUGUCAUGUCAUGUCAAUUAAUGAAUGCUGCCAUGAGACCACUCACUAGGAAUGCUAGGGUUUUUUAAUUUGUUUUUUAAUUGACAUGGCAACAUUCAUUAAUUGACAUGGCAUGACACAUCAGUUGCCACAUAAGGUGGUCAGUUAAGGUGGUCAAUGUUGUGUGUCUAAAUAGCAUUACUCAAAUAAUAUAUAUUUUAAAAGAUAAUAUAAAUAGGUCAAUAAUGGGCCCAAGGAAUCAUCAAAGUUUGGGCAUCUGGGUUAGACUUACUUAUAAGAACCCAAUUUGGUUCUCAUUCUUCGUAUAGUGUUCUAUUGUCAAAACAAAGCUAGCCCAUUAGGCCAUCUCCAGUCACAGAGCUAAAUGUAGUCCAGGGUUAAAAAUUUAGCCCUCCAAAAUAUUAAUUUUUUAAAGAAUAGUGCAUGGCUAAAUUUUUCCAUCUCCGCCAUGCAUGGCUAUAUUUUAGGGCUCUUCAUAUUUUAUUAUUUUGAGAAAAACUAUAGUACAACACUCAUAUAUUCCACAACUAUGGAUUAUUUAAUUUAAUUUAUAUAUUUUUUUAAAACAAAAUGAAUUUAACACAUUUUAAAAAGUUUUAAAUAAAUAAAUAAAUAAUAACUUUUCAAUUAACGAUUCUGACCUCCAACGAUUAGAAACCAAUUAUAUAUAUAUAUUUUAAAACAAAACGAAUUUUAAAACAUUUAAAAAGGUUAUUAAAAAUAAAAAUAAAAACCUAACGACUAGCUGACGUCAUUGAUGAUGUCAAUGCGCCUUUAAUAUUGGUUGUUAGAUUUGCAGUUACAUGAGAUGUUUCGUGCUCUUACCCACGCAUGAUACUUUCUCUUCAUGAAAAACACAUGGACUGAGCCCACAAAAAAAUCUGGCUUAGGCCGAAGCUAAGAUACAUUUGGCCUAGUUGGAGGGCUAAGGUUAUCUCCAGCCAUGGGCUAUAUCCCAAAUAUAGCCCUAAAAUAAUGCAAAACUCAUCUCCAACCAUGGGCUAAACAAAAUUUUGGCCAAAUUUGGAGGGCCACUUUCGGCCCUUUAGCCUUCCAACCGAGCCAUAUUUAGCCCAGCUUUGGCUUAUGACAAAUUUUUUGUGGGUCCCAUGCAUGUGCUUUUGAAGAAGAUAAAUUAUCAAGUGUGCGUAAGAGCACGAAUCAUCUCAUGCAAAUGCAUAUCCAACAACCAAUAAUAAAAGCGCUCAUGUCAUCGAUAUAUUUUUAAAAUCCUUUUUAAAUGUUUUCAAUUCGUCUUGUUUAAGAAAAAUUUAUAAAAAAUUAUUGGUCAUGAUCAUUGGAGGUCAAACUAUUGAAACCCAACCAUUUUUAUUUUAUUUUAAAUGUGGUCACCUUUUUAAAUGUUUUCAACUCGUAAAAAAAUUAUAAAAAAUUACUAGUCAUGACUGUUGGAGGUCAAACCAUUGAAACCCAUUGUUGUUGUUGUUUUUUUUUUUUUUGUAAAUAAAUGUGGUCACCUUUUUAAAUAUUUUCAAGUGUUGUUUAAAAAAAAUUAUAAAAAAUUAUUGGUCAUGGAAUACUACUGUCUCUAAAUAGUAGUUUAAUUAAAUUAAACAAUACAUAAUUAUGGAAUGUAUGAGUGUUGUACUAUACUUUUUCUCAAAAUAAUAAAAUAUAAAGGACCUAAAAUAUAGCCUUACAUAGCUGGAGAUGGAAAAAUUUAGCCAUGUUCUUUAAAAAAUUAAUAUUUUGGAGGGCUAAAUAUUUAGUCAGGGAUUACAUUUAACCUUAUGACUGAAGAUAGACUAUAAUGAGUGGAAAGUUAUAAGGGGUUCACUUUAUAGUCAUUAGAUCAAUCCAAGGGGUGGGGAGAAUUGAGAUAAAGUUUUACAAUCGGGUAGGUGAGGACCCAAACCAGAAUUUAAUAUCCAGCAGGUCAGAAAAAAAAGAAGAAAAAAGAGGCAAGUUCGAAGUUUGAACAGAAAAAACUCAUCGCUCCAAAACCCAUAGCUCUGAGAAACAACUAAGCUCUGAGAAACGGUUGAAGGCAACGGUUAACGACGGUUGAAGGCACCGGUUGAACGCCACUCCGUUCUCCAGACCCUGAAAAAGUAUUUAUUUUGAGUGGAAGGGACAAAGGUGUGGAUUCUGAAACAGUGAAGGGGCAAAGCAGUGGAAGGGGAAGGAGAGAAGCCGUAUUCGUUGGAAGUGAUAGGUUCCAUUUGUUGAGCAAAGCCACACAAACACCCCGCACAGACACCUUGCGAUUGUUCAAUAACCAGCAUUUGGUGAGUAAUUUAUGGAAUUUGAGUUUAGGGUUAGAGUAACGGUUUUCCCCAAUUUGUACCGUCAAUGUUGUUGGAUUUGGCAUCUCUUCUUUGUGCUUCACUUGCACGUCAAUUUUUGCUUGGGUAUAUGUUAAAACACGAAUAAAAAUCAAGUCAAUAACAUAUCAAUAACAGAUCAAUAACAUGUUAAUAAUUAUAUGAAUAAGAUAAUGGUGUUGAAUUGGAGGAGGCCCUCAAAACCUUCCACAUUUGAAGCAGUGCAGAGUGCAGAGUACCUCUCUGGCGCUAGAAUUUAUAUAUAUUUUUUAAAUAAAUAUUGUUUCAUUUGUUACUAAAUUUGCCUGUGAGAAAUGAGAACUGAUAAUAAUAAACUCAUGAAUAAAAGUGCAAAGCAUUUGAAAUAAAGGUUGAUCUAUGACGAUUGUGGCUGACUGAAGAAAAAGCUAGAAAGAAAGAAGGAUGUGGCAAUGGCUUAGCAAGCAGAUAGCAGAGUAGAUGCUUUGCUUUGCUUCCUUCCACUAUAUUUCUUAUUCAUUUAUUUAUUUUAUGUUGUGUAUGAGAUGACAAUAAUUGUCAUGUGUGUGAAGUGCAGAACUUGCCUAGAUUGCACUCACACUCACUUAUGCAUCAACCAUUGAUUGGAGUUUGGAUCCAUAAAUAAAACACAUGAAAUUGUUUGUAAUUCACAUAAUCAUUGCAUUAACAGGUAUUUGCACAAAAUUUGUCAUAUUGCUUUAAUGAUGUUAAAGCCUGUGAUCAGUAAUCCCUAUGCUCAUGUACUUUGUAAAAUUUGUAAUGUGCCUGGUUGACUAGUUAUGUAAAUACCAAUGUGAUUGUGCAAAUACGUGGUAGUAUAUGUGUUCACGUUAUUUCAUCUUGUAUUUCAGGAAAUGGGAUCCAAUGUGGAGCUGGUAUGGCCAGAGUCAGAGGCAUAUUCGUCACAGGUGAACAACUGCUCAUAUGCAAAUUCAUCUCUAGCUGCAAUUCGAGCGAAGUUGAGUGCGGAACAAUUAGAACAAUUCAAGACAUCAUGCUUUGGCCAUAUUCUGAAUAUAUAUAUAUAUAAGAUUCAGUUUAGCGGGCAGAUUGUGCAUGGGGUUGGGUUGCAUAGAGUAGUCGGCAGGGUGUGAAAGACUUGGAUGGACUGAGUUUCUUAAUAGGGUGUGACGUUGCUCAGUUCACUCGUCAGGAUUUUUGUUUGAUCACAGGGCUUCAUUUUGGGGAAGUGCCUGAAGUUUCCAAUAGAGAGAGUGAUGAAAUUAGACUUCAGAAAAGAUAUUUUAUAGACGAAUGAAUUACAUGUAAUGCUUUAGAAGAAGCAUUUCUGAGGUGCACAGAGGAAGAUGACAUCUACAAGCUAGCUCUUGUUUACUUUGCUGAGUUAGUGGUUUUGGGAAGGGACAAACAUUUGAACAUCAAUCUAAAUUACCUGACCCUUGUAGAGGACUUGGAUGCGUUCAACAGGUAUCCGUGGGGUUCGGUGUCCUUUGACAAAAUCCAAGACAGUCUAUUUUCUGCACCAACAAAGUAUGUGAAAAGCUUUGAAAAUGAAGAGGGAAGAGGGAAGGGGAAAAGUAAGGUAACGGGACCAAGCCGGAGAAAUGAGAAGGGCAAGAAGGAUAAGCAUGGUGAAAUGCAAAAGGGUGGCUGGAAUAUUAAAGGUUUCACGUAUGCUUUCCAGGUACAUGGUAAUAAUGUUCAUGUCAGUUAUGUUUUGUGGAUUUUAAAACUUAAAUAAUGACUUUUGUCCUGUGAAUUGUGUAGAUUUGGGUAUAUGAAUUAAUUCCUAGAAUGGCGGACCUGAAUUAUUGCAAGGUUGUUGAUCCGACAGCUGUCCCACGUAUUUUGCGAUGGAGAACUACUACGUCUGUUCUCGAGAUGAGAAAGUUGAACUAUUAUUUUUUUCAGAGUAAAGAGGUUUGGUUUGUAGCCCUUGAAACUAUUUAUAAGAUUCAAUGAAAUUAUGAAGUAGAAUGAUUGAAUAUGACUCUUGUCUGUAUUCUGAAACAGUCAGUUCAGUUGCUAGCACUAUGUCCGAGUGAAAAGAAAAUGAGACAACCAUAUUGGAGUUUAACACAGGAUCGCCCUGCUGUUGUCUCGGCAGAGUCAAUUCCUUCUUCAUGUGCUAACCUUGAUGAGUUGAACAAAGUGGUAAGCUUGUUGAGGUCCGAGUUGUUUCAAGUAAAGCGGGAAAAGGACGUUCUUGAGUUAAAGGUCAUACGGAUGGAAAAACUUUUGGACCACUGUUUAGGUCCUCAGUUUAAGCAGGAAGUAAGGAGGGACCUAGCUUUACUAACAAAGAGGACAAAUCGUUGUGUCAUCUCACAUCUAUUUAAGGGAAGUGAGGAAAUGGAUGACAUUCAAUGGGAUGAAGGGCCAUGUAACAGAAAUGAGGGAGAGGAAAAGGAAGAUGAAGGGAUUGAAGGGGGCGAAGGGCCAAGUAACAGAAAUGAAGGAGAGGAAAAGGAAGAGGAGGGGAUUGAAGGGGGUGAAGUGCAAGGAAAACCAAGUGAGGUAGAGGAAGCUCAAAGGAAAAGAAGUGAGGGAGAGCAAGUGAAAAUAAAAAGCAGCAAGGGAGAGGAAGCGUAAAGAAAGAGCAGUGAAGGAGAAGAAGUGAAAAGAAAAAGCAGUAAGGGAGAGGAACUGCAAAGAAAGAGCAGUGAGGGAGAGGAAGUGAAAAGAAAAAGCAGUAAGGGAGAGGAACUGCAAAGAAAAAGCAGUGAGGGAGACCUACGGGGAGAUGCUUACAUGCCAUGAUAUUGGUUGAACUUGGUUUAGGUACAUGAUGAUUAAAUAGGUUUUGGGAAUGUCCAAUUUCAAACUCAUGUAAAUACACAAUAGAGACAUACGAGUCCUUUUCGAAUUCUACCUCUGCUCCUCAAUUCUUCUUCGUCUUUCUCAAUCUUAGUGUAUUUUUGUUCAUAAUUUUAGGUUUAAGUUAUUGGACAAUAACAAUUAGAACCAAAAUAGUGGCAAAUAUUAUAGCGGAUGCAUGCUUUCAUUUCGAUUAGUGUGAUACUACGCUACGUUUAUUCUCAUAUUGUGCUAAAUGUAUAUGGAGCUGGAUGCAGAGCAUAGACAGAAAAAUGAAGAAUCUGAAAUGGAGAUGCUGAGGCUUGGUGAGGAGAAAAGUAAAUGGAUCUAUAAAUCUAUUGCAUGUAGGCAAUGUAAAUGGAUAGGCAGAUGAGUUUUUGAAGUUAGACACAUGUCAUUCCCAUACAUGGAAUGUGUCUAUGGAGUGUAAAGUUUUUUUGGGUUUAAUGAAACAAACAUCUGUGUAAUAUUAGCCUAACUCCUUCACGGCAUUUACAUAACUUUAACCAAACUGUAUUGAAUUGGGAUUUAAAGACUGCAUAUGUGAAUUGGGAUUUGAAGAAUGCAUAUGUGAAUGGGGACUGAUAGCUUUUUGAGUGUAUUACAUCAUUGCAAAGUGAUAUGUCAUCAUUUAUGCAAGCCACCAUUCCAAAUAUCAUAUCCCAAUCUUUAAGCCGUUCAACAUGCCUUGACUUAAUCGCAAUGGGUUGCAUCUUAAUAAGGUAAUUCUGUAAGGGGAAUAAGCGGCUAUGGCCUAGCCUCCAAUGUUUUAUUCAACCAUGCCCUCUUUAUAGAAACACAUGAAAAAAUGUCCCCAGGUGCAAUGCUAUAAAAACUCCCUAUUGGUUUCGUAUCGCCCAUCGGGUUUGAAUCCCUCUCUCUUUUAUAAUCGGUUAAUAAAUUCGUUGAUUUUCUUUAUUUUAUUGAUUUUGGGCAGCUCAGUAGAAUAAAAGUAAUGUAUAUUGGUGCAUCUAUAUUACAUGUAUGUUGCGUCUAUAUUGCUUCUCUAUUGCGUGCAUAUCUUACAUUUAUUGUAUGUGUAUUGAUUGUUUAUUGCUUACGAAGGAAAUAAACAACAAUAUUAUACAGGCAACAGACAAGCAAUAUACACACAACAGACAACAAUAUACACGCAAUAGAUAUGCAAUAUACACACAAUAGACAUGCAAUAUACAUCAGUCCCCAAUUACACCAACCAUAAGGAAGUCGUAUUGAAUAGGAAAUUAUACUUAACAGUUGUUCUUCCUACUAAAAGAAAGAAUAAGGUCCGUUUUCCCCCUUAAAUAUUACUUGAGUGGUACUUUUGCCCCCAAUAAACAUGUAAUAUUGGAGCACUAACAUGCGAUAUACAUGCAGCAAACAAUCAAUAAACAUUCAAUAUCAGGUUAAUAACAUGCGAAAUACAUGCAGUUAACAAUUAAUAAAUCUUCAAUAAACAUGUAAACAAUCAAUAAACCUUCAAUAAACAUUCAAUAUCGGUUCAAUAACAUGCGAAAUACAUGCAGUUAACAAUUAACAAACCUUCAAUAAACAUGUAAACAAUCAAUAAACCUUCAAUAAACAUUCAAUAUCGGUUCAAUAACAUGUGAAAUACAUACAGUUAACAAUCAAUAAACCUUCAAUAAACAUGUAAACAAUCAAUAAACCUUCAAUAAAUAUUCAAUAUCGGAGCAAUAACAUGCGAAAUACAUGCAGUAAACAAUCAAUAAACCUUCAAUAAACAUUCAAUAUCAUGCGAUUUAUAUGCAGUAAGCAAUCAAUAAACUUUAAUUAUACGCAAAUAAACAAUCAAUUUUCAAAAAAAAUGUAUUGUCUUAUUAUUGCAUCAUAUUGGCCCUGUAUUGCGAUUUUAUCGUCUUCGUAUGACUUUAUUUUUUUAAAGUAAGUCUUGGAAAGUUUUUGCUGGGUUUUAGACAAAUAAAUACUUCUGUUUAAAUUCAAUGUCAAUCCACCUAUUUCAAGAACAAAAAUUACAAAAUGGGUUUGAAAACUCAUUGGUGGUGCGUGUAACAUGUCUUUUUGGGGAGAAAUUCCACAAUCUUUGAAACCGUGCACUUAAUUAGUCAUUAAAAGAACAAAUAAUAUGACAAUUGAUACAACUAAUAAAACUAAUACCAAGUCCUUAAUGGACUUCAGCAUAUUCAGCACUGUAGCAUCAUACGUGUCAUAUUGCUGUUCUGCUUUAACGGAGGUUACAUCAACCCAUUCGAAUCCAUUGCAACUGGUGGCUCCCUAAUUGCAGACAUCAUAUAUGCAAAAUAAUUCUGUCAGAGUUAGACCUAGGUUAUUUUCACCCACAUACAUAUUCUUGAAAUGAAAACUUACAUAGGAGGUUAGACACUUCCGAAAUGGCUUCCCUCGAUUUUUAUCUGAUUUUGAAACCCGAAGCACCAUUGUAGCUCCACAAUACUGACACCUCUUUGUUUGAGCGGGAGAUGAAGACGAAGACAUGUUGAAUCUUCUCACUUGUACCUCUGCUCACUCAGAUCUUCUCACUGAAACCUCUUCAGACUUAUACUUUCUCACUCAUAGUUCUCAGUCAUACCCAUUCACUCAUAACCCUAAACUUCUCACUCAGCUCUCUCUCAUCUCUGCCCAAAUCGAAUUAUAUCCUUCUUUUUUGUGUGUGGGGGGGUUGGUCACGAUCUGGACACAUGUACCAUCAGAAUUAUGACACCUUUUACCCCGAAAAGCAGUAUAAUAUUUCACUACCAAAUAUUAAUCUGAAAAUUGAGGGGACACUGCUUGAAAUAUAUUAUUUUAUUUAUAUUUCAUUAAGGCAACUAGUUGGAUAAGAAUCCAUCAUCAUUGGUUCUAUUUUAAUAACAUUACUAGGGGUAGUUUGGUGUGAGAAAAUAAAAAAGUAUCUGAUGGGACCUUCUGUGACUAGUCAGUAAUCCAUCACAUUUGUAUCAAUGAAUUUGAUGGCGGGAAAAUCCUAAAAAUGGCUGUGCAAAUAGGUUAUUAAUUGACUUUUUGACUAUCUGACUCUCUUUGCAUUUUGAUGACGUUUUCCCUUCUUUUGUCUUGAGUUUUAGGGUGUUGGGUUUAGUUUCUUUUAAAAUGGUCAACUUGGAAAAACCCAAAGUGGAAACACCUUUUCAAAACACUACAAACAGAGGCUAAAACAAAACCAAAACCCCAUAUUUUCUCAUUUCUCCCCUCUUCCACUCCUCAAAUCGUUCCAUUCCAAAAACAUUUCAAUGAAUUCGAAACAUUUCACUACACUCGGAGGAAAGAGAAGGAAGCAUCUCCAUUUGGAUAUGCCCCAAGCCUUCAUCCCGGAGUUAGCUUGGUUUAAAGUGAUGUUAUACGUGGCAACCCAAUCAUCGGAAGAUCUCUUCCGUAUGGCAUCUAUGUGCCCAUUGUUCCAUACGUUGGCAAACACUCCACAAGUGUGGAACACCAUUUCAAUGGCAAAGUACCCAGACCAUCCUAGCUGGUACCAUGUCAAUCCUCGGUUCAGCAUUUCUUGCAACAAUGUAGGGCUUGCGAUAACCGUGAGUCGAUAUUUAGAGAAGCAUUCGAAGUGUUUUUCAUGCAAGGUAACGUGGAAGAGUUGUAUGGGAUGCGCAUUGUAGCCACGGCAGGCCAUAUGGAAGCGGCAUAUCUAGUUGGACUACUUGGCAUGUCUGGAAUUGGUCAGUCAAAAGAGGAUGCAUUAGAAUUCUUGUGUUCUUUGAAUCGACGUAACAACAUUGAUAUGAAAGGAACCAGGGAUGCUUUGAGACGAAGAUUAAGCCGAGUUUUCUCUGUUGCAAGACAUAUCGUAGAUAUGUUUUACUAUGGGAAGAUUAAGUUCAAUCACUGCAGUGCUUGUAACAACAACAAAUGGUGUUUUGUUAUUCAAGGCUGGCCUACUGAAGAAAAGAUAAAUCCUGCCUUCUGGACUUGUUGUAAUCAAUGCAAAUGGCACCGUGAGAGUAUUUUUUUGGUUCAAGGUGAUGUGUGUGUAUGUUGUGCCAGGAAAUCCAUACCCUUAUAAUUAGUUGUAGUAUGUUUUUAUGGUUUUUAUGCAUUGUGGACUUGCUUCUCUUCAGCUUUAGGUUGGCUGGCUACGUUGUACAAAUAUUGUUUAAAUGUUGGGUUUUAAUCUAUUUUGUCUGGUGUUUGUGCUGUCAUAAACCGUUUUAUGUAUAAAUGUAUAAUAUAUAUAUAUUAUAUAGUGGAAUGAUUACUGACAUCAUAAACGGCUAUAAAUGACAUUUUACUGACACAGAUAUUUUGCACAACUGCAAUCUUAAUAUUUGGUAAACGAAAAGGCAUGCAUGGAGUGAGUAGGUGUCUUUUCACCAGUGCUUGGGAAUGACAUUUUCUCACUUAGCAUAUUCCAAAUGAUUUGGUUACACAUUUCUUAAGCAAAACUUGAAUAGUGAAUGACUUUGAAUAAUUUUUUCCUGAUGUUGUAGAAUGGAUGGCUUGUAUAUUUCCAUUUUAUUUUUCAAAACAUCCCUUAAACCUAAAAAAGAAAAAAAAAAUAACAAAUUGAAGAAGAGAGAAAUUGAUUAGCACUAGAAAUGGUCUAUUCGCACGAAAAAUAAAAAUUUUAAAAAAAAUUGGAGUAAAUAUAAUUAACAAAUGUAUAGGCUAAAAAGUAAUAUAAUAAUAAUAAUAAUUUAGGAUAAAUAAUAAUAAGAUACUAAUAUAGCAUAACCAUGAAACAGGGAAUUCAGUAGUAAGAUGAAGUAUCAAUGAGUUCGUAGCAAUUUUCAGAACAUUAUUGUGAUUUUUGUGUAUUUAGUUAUGAAUUUUCCAAGAAAAAGUAAUAAAAUAAUAAUUUAUGGUAAAAGGCAAGGAUGUGGCCAUGUUGACUAACGUACACUUGUGCAAGUGGUGAAAGGUGACAGGCUGAGAUCGUGCCAGGUGUCCUCUUGCAAUUACUCUGGCUUUUUUAGUGCAAAAAUCUUUGAAAAAAAGGUAAUAAAUAGUAGGAAAAUCCUAAAAAUACUCCGAAAAUUACCCUAGCCUCCUUGUGACGUUAUAAAACUAGGGGAACCUAUAAAUUAUCCGUCUCGCAAUGAAAAAAUCCAAUUUGUUUUAGAUAACUCACUUUCUUUUUAACCCUAAGUAUUUAUGUUUGUUAACUUUAACUUCAAUAACCUACAUCAACAAGUAUCUCCCGUUAAUGUUUGGAAUUAUUUUUUAAAAUGCAUAACCAUGAAUCUGGGAAUUCAGCAAAGGAGAUGGAGUCUCAAUGAGUUCGUAGCAAUUUUCGGAUCAUUUUUCUAAUUUUUGUGUAUUUAGUUAUGAAUUUUCUGAAAAAAAUUAAUAAAAUAAUAAUUUAGGAUAAAAGGCAAGGAUGUGGCCAUGUUGACUGACAUACAUUUGUGCAAGUGGUGAAAGGUGAGGAGCUGAGAUUGCGCCAGGUGUCCUCUUGCAAUUAUUUUGGCUUUUUUAGUGCAAAAAUCUUUGAAAAAAGGUAAUUAAUAGUAGGAAAAUCCUAAAAAUGCCCGAAAAUUACCCCGGCCUCCUUGUGACAUUAUAAAACUAGGAGAACCUAUAAAUCAUCUAUUUCACAAUGAAAGAAUCCAAAUUGUUUUAGAUAACUCACUUUCAUCUUAACCCUAAGUAUAUAUAUUAACACUUUACCUUCAAUAACCUACUUCAACAAGCAUCUCCCGUUAAUGUCCGGAAUUAUUUUUUAAAAUGCGUAACCAUGAAUCGGGGAAUUCAACAAGGGAGAUGGAGUGUCAAUGAGUUCGUAGCAAUUUUUGGAUCAUUUUUCUAAUUUGUGUGUAUUUAGUUAUGAAUUUUCUAAGAAAAAGUAAUAAAAUAAUAAUUUAGGAUAAAAGGCAAGGAUGUGGCCAUGUUGACUGACGUACACUUGUGCAAGUGGUGAAAGGUGACGGGCUGAGAUCCCAGGUGUCCUCUUGCAAUUAUUUUGGCUUUUUUAGUGCAAAAAUCUUUGAAAAAAUGUAAUAAAUAAUAGGAAAAUCCUAAAAAUGCCCUGAAAAUUACUCCGACCUCCUUGUGAUGUUAUAAAACUAGGGGAACCUAUAAAUCAUCUGUUUCGCAAUGAAAAAAUCCAAAUUAUUUUUACAUAACUCACUUUCCUCUUAACCCUAAGUAUAUAUUUUUGUUCACUUUAACAAGUAUAUUUCCUUAAUAUUCGUUAUAUAACUUGUAAUAAUACAAGAAUUAGUUUCCUUUCAUACAUAAGGAUGUAAAAUUAUCUGUUUUGUUAAAAUAAUGUACAUAUAUAAUAAUUGCACAUGCUUUGAAGCCAUCAUUGCAACUGCGCCUAGAGCUUUGAACACGUCAGAGGUAUUCAAUAAGUUGUCCAUAUGACUCCGCAUUGGGAAUCAGUAAUAUAUUUUCUAUCAUGUCCAAUCACAUAAAAUAAUGCCAUACUUUUUCUGAAAAACCUCACACCAGUCAAGCAGUUUUAAAAUAUUAGUGAAUAUUUGUCCUAGUCUAUAUGAGUGAUUAUAUAUUCAGUCUGCAUUUUUUUUCACAGUAUAUGUUAACUUUGAGAGGGUUCCACAAACAUAUAAUAUAAAGAAAGAAAGCAAUAGUAGGAGAUGAACCAGUACAAAAAACAAUAUAUAAGUGGUACAUAAUAAUUCCAUAACCUUGUCACAAACGCACUCACAAAUGCUUUUCCAUAAACCUUGCCCUAACAUAUAAUAAAUAAAGUGUUAGUACGAAAAUCGUAUUGGCAUUUCCUAGGCUGUAGUAUAGGUUGAAAAUUAGUUUGUGAGGAAUUGCUACUGGAAGUUUUGGCACUACUCUUUCAAUCUCAUACCUCUGAGGCAUGAUUUGACCGAUAUGAGAAACUGAUUUCAAGUAACUCAUGACAUCAUCAUGCAUUCAUUAUAGGAUUCCUAAUUAGAGUUAUUUUCACUCAAAGUAUUUUUUAUCUUAAUCUUAUUUUUAAUAGGAUUAGAUUUUAUCUCUUAAUAUUACUUUCCUAGUUAAACUCUAUUUUGAUUUAGAUUAAAAAUAUUAUGUUUUCAUUAUCUUGGACUUGGAAAGUAUGUUUUAAUGAAUAUCCUAUUUGGUUCCGUGUUUACAUCUUGAUAUAUAUUGUUUCAUUGAAUAAACAAUUGAUUGAGUGCAACUGAGAAUAUGACGAAAUCAUAUAGGACUCUAUGACCAUCAAAUUAAAUGCAUGGCAAGAUAUUGAGUUGUGGUUGUGGGUCCUCUCGUGGAUUGUGGAGAAUAAGUUUUGUAUAAAUCAUUGUGUGCAUCUCUUAGGUUUGGACAGCUUUUGAUAUUUGUGAUGAGCAUAUAGAAUUCUUAAGCAAAAGCUGAUGUGCAUAUAUUUGAGAUAAAUCAUCAAGUGUUCUAUGUUUACUUGGUGAUUUAUCAAACACUUUAAUAAUUCAUAUUGCAUUCAUAUGCAUGUCGGUGACUCAUACGGUUGAGGGCACUAAAAUCGUGGUGGCGGUUUUCCUCCGGUGAGCUUGAAGCAAUCGUGGCCAGUAUUGCGUUCAACAUAAGGAGUGUCGAAGAUCAUCCCGUAACAGAAGUUGAGUCACGAAGAAGUCGGUAAACAUUAUAUCUAGAAUGAGUCUAGGAUAAGUGUGUGAGUACUUCUUGUAAUCAUUGUUCUAUAGUGGAUUUGAGUUGGACUAAGGAGUCCCGUGGAUUUUCCCCAGAGGUGGGAUUUUACCAUGUAAAAUAAUUCUCUGCGUGUUAUUUUAUUUUAAGCUUUGCACAUCUCAGGAUUGAUAACAUAUCAAUCCUGCUUCAAAGGUUGAUCAUUAUUUAUUGCAAAAAUUCGAAUUAGCUUGUUUAACUUUCUCCAGGCAUAUAUAGAUAUCCUACAGGUAUUUUCAAUUGGCAUCAGAGAAGGUUGCUGGACAUACUCAGCUAGAUCUAACAUACCUUAGGAUGGAUCGUGCCGCUGGUUCUGUUGCACACCCACCAUACUUCGAUGGCCACAACUAUGGUGCUUGGAAGGCUAAAAUGAAGUCCUUUCUUUGGUCCUUAGAUGAACGUGUAUGGUAUACAGUGGUUCAUGGAUUUUCUGAUCCCACAAAGAAGAUCGGAAAAGGAGAUGAAGAAACCACAGUUCUCAAAUCUAGAGAGGAGUGGACCACUGCAGAAGCCACACACAGUACCUAUAAUCAAAAGGGGUUAAAUGCUAUAUUUACUGCUGUCUCUUCCGAUCAAUUUGAAUAUAUAUAUCUAGUUGUGAUACUUCUAAGGAAGCUUGAGAUAUUUUGCAGGUCACCCAUGAAGGAACAGAUACUGUUAAGGGAGCCGAGCUUCAAAUGCACACUCUACAGUUUGAGACAAUCAUGAUGGAUGAGAAUGAAACCUUUUCUGAAUUUUAUGCCAAAGUUUACGUUAUUGUGAAUGCAUGUUCAAGUUUAGGUGAAAAAAUUCCAGAAGAUAGGGUGGUGAAAAAGAUUUUAAGGUCCUUGCCUCAACGUUUUCACCAAAAAUCACAGCCAUUGAAGAGAUUCGUAACCUGAAUACUAUGAAAGUUCGUGAACUCAUAGGGUCGCUUCAAACCUAUGAGAUGAAGCAUCUAGCUCCUAAGAAGAAUAAAAGCGUUGCUCUUAAAGUAGUUGAUAAAGAAGAUGGUGAACACCAAUCUGAAGAAUUCAAUUGGGAGGAAUUUGCUUAUCUUUCACGACAAUUCAAGAAGUUUUUCAAAUAUCAAAAUUCCAGAAGUCAUGAUUCAAGAAAUCACUCAGGUAUAAAUUCAAAAGUUAAACAUGGUGAUUAUACUGAUGGUAAUGUAAAAUCUCGCAAGUUCACUGAGAAGAAAACCACUAAAGAGAGAGUCAAGUGCUAUGAAUGCGAAGGAUAUGGACAUAUAUCCUCUGAAUGUGCCAACACACAAAAGAAGCAAAAUGGCAAAGCCAAAGCACUGAAUGUAACCUGGAGUGACUGUGAUUCAGAAUUAGAAAGUGAAGAAAAUACCAUUGCAUUAAUCACCACUGUCAGUUUGGAUAAGGCACAGCAAAUCAAUGGGAAUGAUGAAGAACCAAACAUUGGUUAUGUGCUGGAAAAGUAUGACGAUCUGCUAGCUGCUUCUCAGAAACUUAAUCAACACAACAAAGAGCUUGCCAAAAAGGUUGCUAUGCUGGAGCUCGAAAACAGUAGGAUUGCCAGGACAUUACAAUCCUCUGCUGCUGAACCAGAAUCAAUUGGUGAAGGUAUGUAUGAAAAAUUGGAAAUACUACAAAAAAAAUGCAUUGAUCAAAAUAAAUUGAUUGAUUCUUUGACUUCUAACAAACAAGUUCUUGAAAUUGAGCUUAAAAGUUCAAAGGAAAGGAUUAUUGCUUUGACAAUUGGUGCAGAAAAGAUUGACAAAAUGAUGAGCAUGGGUCGAAGAGAUGGAGACAAACGUGGCUUGGGUUUUGAUUCAGUAAACAAGCCUUCCGCUGUAUCCGUCACAAAGUUUGUCAAACCAUCACUUUCUACUGGUAUUUCCACCUCUCAAACACCUUGGAGAUUCAUACCUACGUGUCACUAUUGUGGAACUCUUGGACACAUCCGACCAAAAUGCAAACUGCUUCAACAGAUUUCAGUAAGUCAAAAACCCACUAAGGAGGGACAGGUAAGAAUUUAGCACAAGAUUUCUUAUCUUGUAAAAGAGGUAAGUAGGUUGUCAAAACUUUCUCGUUCCUUAUCUUUACCAACUUCAAAUCUAGUGUGGAGGAGAAAGGAUAAUCAAAACUGCUUGGUGGCAAUUUCAAACGAUACACAUCAAACUAAUGUUCCUGAAAUAUUAGAUGUGAAAUGUUUUGUUGCUUUUAUUGCUCUGUCUGACUCUAAAUCUAAAUCUUGGUAUUUUGAUAGUGGAUGUUCAAGACACAUGACCGGUGAGAAAUCAUAUUUUUUAGAAAUCUCUACAGAAGGCGUGAGUGGAAUGGUCACUUUUGGAGAUGGAAGAAAAUCCAAGAUUUUGGGCAAAGGAAGGAUUAUGGCAAUUGGUACACCUAACUUGGACAAUGUUUUAUUAGUUGAAAAUCUUCAAGCAAAUCUCAUCAGCGUAAGUCAACUUUGUGAUGAAAUGGGUGAGGUAAGUUUUACUAAAAUCCAAUAUAUUGUCAAUAAUCAAGAUGGAUCAAAUGUGAUGACUGGAAAUAGAUCACCCGACAAUUGUUAUUGUUUUUCCACUAAUGAAGUUUCUCAAGUUUGUUUUAGGACAAGUAAAGAUCAUCUUGAUUUAUGGCAUCAACGUUUGGGACAUAUGAAUUAUCAAGAUUUAAUUAAAUUGUCCAACUGUGAAUCUGUAAGAGGAUUGCCCAAUCUUUCAGGUAAACGUGAGGGUGUCUGUGAAGGGUGCCAACUGGGGAAGCAAACCAAAAACCCUCACAAAGCUACAACCUCAAUCUCUACUUCUAAAACUUUGGAACUGAUGCAUAUGGACUUAGUUGGUCCAAUACAAGUUGCUAGCUUAGGAGGAAAGAAAUAUAUCCUUGUCUUAGUAGAUGAUUUCUCACGUUUUACUUGGGUGCAUGAUAAGACAGAAGCUUUUAAUUCCUUCUAUGUUUUGUACAAGCUAAUCAUGAAUGAAAAAUAUGACAGUAACUCUUGUAUCAUGAGAGUUAGGACAGACCAUGGAACGGAAUUUGAAAAUCAAGCUUUCUCUAAAUUUUGUUCUGAAAAAGGAAUAAAACAUGAAUUUUCUGCUCUAAUCACUCCCCAACAAAAUGGGGUAGCUGAAAGGAAAAAUAGAGUCCUUCUUGACAUGGCUCGUGUCUUGUUGAAAAGUGCCAAUUUGACAGAUUAUUUUUGGGCUGAAGCCAUUUGUACUGCAUGCUAUACAUCUAACCGUGUGUUUUUCAGGCCACAUACCAAGAGCACUCCAUAUGAAAUCUGGAAAGGGAAGAAACCAAAUGUCAAGCGCUUAAGGACUUUUGGUAGUAAAUGCUACAUUUACAAAGACAGGGAGUAUCUUGGAAAAUUUGAUGCAAGAAGUGAUGUUGGAAUAUUUCCUGGAUAUUCUAUGAAUAGUCGAGCAUAUAUGGUGUUUAAUAGUCGCACUAAAAUAAUAAUGAAAUCAGCUAAUGUGGUUGUAAAUGACACUUUUAUAUUGUAGGUUGAACCAAGCAGUGAAGAUACAGAUCUAGAAAUUCACGAACCUGUAGAUGGUACUGGAAUUGAUUUUGAGGAUUGUAACCAGCAUUUCAAUCCUGUGAUACGCAGACCUGGUGCUAAACAAGUUCAGAAAGAUCACUCACCCUCUGAUGUUAUUGGAAAUGUUAAUGAUAAAAUGAGAACUCGACAACAAGUUUGUAAUGAGGUAACCAAUUUCUGCUAUGUAUCCUUUAUUGAACCUAAGAGUGUAGCAGAUGCUCUUGCAGAUAAUGACUGGAUUCUGGCUAUGCAAGAGGAAUUAAAUCAAUUCAAAAGAAAUGAUGUGUGGUACCUUGUUCCACGUCCCAAAGACACAAAUGUAAUUGGUACCAAGUGGAUCUUUCAAAAUAAGACAGAUGAGAAAGGGCAAAUCAUGCGCAACAAAGCUAGACUUGUUGCCCAAGGUUAUACUCAAAUUGAAGGUUUGGAUUUUGAUGAGACCUUUGCUCCGGUUGCGCGUUUAGAAUCUGUUCGAUUGUUGCUAUCCAUUGCAUGCUAUCUUCGGUUCAAGCUUUAUCAAAUGGAUGUCAAGAGUGCGUUUCUAAAUGGAGUUUUACAAGAGGAAGUCUAUGUGGAACAACCUGUAGGUUUUCAAGAUCCUAUCCAUCCCAAUCAUGUAUAUCGUCUGAAAAAGGCUCUCUAUGGACUCAAACAAGCCCCGAGAGCAUGGUAUGAUAGACUGUCCACACACCUUCUUCAAAAAGGGUACACACGUGGUAGCAUUGAUAAAACCCUCUUUGUCAAAAGAACCAAACAGGACUUAAUGGUUGCUCAAGUAUAUGUGGAUGAUAUUGUUUUUGGAUCUACUUCUGACCUACUUGUUAAAGAAUUUCAUGAGGUAAUGCAAACCGAAUUUGAGAUGAGCAUGUUUGGUGAACUAAAUUUUUUCCUUGGCUUACAGGUCCAACAAUUUAAUGGAGGCAUGUUCAUAUCUCAAACAAAGUAUGCCAAAAACCUAGAGUCCAAAUUUGGUCUGGAAUCUGCCAAACCCAUUCGGAAUCCUAUGAGCACAAGCACCAAACUUUCCAAGGAUUCAUCUGGCAAAAGUGUCGAUCAAAAACUAUACAGAAGCAUGAUUGGCAGUUUGUUAUAUUUGACUGCCAGUAGACCAGACAUCUCUUUCAGUGUUGGACUUUGUGCUCGCUUCCAAUCCGAUCCCAAAGAAUCACAUCUACUUGCUGUGAAAAGAAUUCUUCGCUAUGUAAGUGGCACUACAACCUUUGGUGUAUACUACUCAUUUGACUCAAAUGUUGAACUUGUAGGCUAUUCCGAUGCGGAUUGGGCAGGGCGCAUUGAUGAUAGGAAAAGCACAACUGGCGGAUGCUUUUACAUAGGCAACAACCUUGUUUCCUGGUUUAGCAAGAAGCAAAAUUGCGUCUCUCUCUCCACAGCUGAGGCCGAGUACAUAGCUGCUGGGAGCUGCUGCACACAGUUGUUAUGGAUGAAACAAAUGCUAAAUGACUAUGGCAUUCAUCAAGGUAAAAUGGUAACGUUUUGUGAUAACAUGAGUGCAAUUAAUAUCUCUAAAAAUCCAGUUCAACACUCUCGCACAAAACACAUUGAUAUUCGUCAUCAUUUUAUUCGUAAAUUGGUGGAAGAGAAUGUGCUCUCGCUUGAAUUUGUCUCUACUGAAAAACAAUUAGCUGAUAUUUUCACCAAACCUCUAGACAAUCUACGGUUUGAAACACUUCGACAGUCAUUAGGUAUCUGUGCUCUAGAUUAAUUCGAUGUCUACUGAAUACCAAAGCCUAUUAUAUGCUGCAUGAUAUUUAAAUUACUUUCUGCUUUCAUAAAUCUGUCCAGCUCGUGCAAGGAUUGUUAGGUCGUAUCAAUCCUUUAGUUGUCUGAACAUAUUUGUUGAUCUUAGAUUGGGCUCUGGUACUGCACUCCAUUGAGAACAUAGCUCAUAGCUUCUCACAAAGGUUUCCACUGUCUUGGUGCUUCAUAAACUUCAUUAAAUGAUCCAUCCAUCUAUUUAAUUUUAUUUGCACACCACACUCUUUUCCUUGAAGUCCCUUGAAUAUCUCUUCUCAGGCACUAGUCUCUCUUUGGAUUACCUGAACACUACUAUGCGUAAGUUCUUGAUCUGUUUACUUAAAAAAUAAAAAUAAAAAGGUGGUGACUUCUCAUUGCUCAGUAACCGGGCCUCUUGUCUAACCAACGUCGAGGUUCGAGUCAACAGGUUGUGAUGAUUUGCUAUCCUUGCUUAUCUUUGGAGCCUUCAUGAUUCGGAUCAGUAUUUCCCCAGGGGUGCUUUAUCACCCAGUUGCUUCCGGUCAUAUGCCGUGAGCACACUGAUUGACCAUCCGUUACAUGGAUCAUGUCGAAAGCUAAAUAAAGUAAGCCACCAAAACUUUAAAAAAAAAAAAACUGAUCUGCUUAUACUUACAGUGCACUCAGUGUUUGUGUCAUCUUUGGUGGGAUUAGUCUUGGGUGGACAUAUUUUUUGUGCUUAAUUGAACGGAGUUCACUUCACAUCUUUGCUUCUUGAUGGUGGACUCAUUUGAUGGUGUUCAUUUUUCACCAUGCUUGUGGUAUGCCUCAUUGAUUAUCAGUGAGUUUGUGUGUUAAAUGUGGUCACUUGCUUUUGCCUCUGCAUACUUUGCUUCUUAUGUGUUUCAGACAGCGAUGGGUCUGCUACUACCGUCUCUUCUUGCUCACAUACUUGGCAUGUUUAUGACUGGAAAAUAAUUACAUCUUCCAGAGCGCUUUGGGUCUGCAUAACAAGUGUGUUUUAUGUCUUGGGUGUUUUGAGUCUUCUGUCCUAAGUGUGUUGCUUUUGUUCUUGUUAUGUCCUAUUCUUUAUUUUAUUUAUACAUUUAAAAAAAAAAACUGACUCUAUGACAGCCACACGGUGCGUUUUACUUUGGGUGUUUAAGCUGUGCAGUUAGGUCGACUUCCUCGGUCACAUUUGGUCUCUCUUCCACCCCAUUGCCGUCUUCCAGAGUUUUUAGCAUUUGCUACUCUGUGUUUUGCUCCGUCGCGUCCCCAUGGUCACCACACGGAGCCGUUAGUCUUCUUCCUCCGCUGCCACUACUCACCCUCCUUCUCGCUCCUUGCGCCGCCGGACUGAUGCCUCUCCUUCUUCAGUUGUCUCUCCGGCUGACACCUCAUCUC